AGGCUAGCCCUGCUCCUAUAAUUGUCAACACAGACACUUUGGACACUAUUCCUUAUGUCAAUGGAACAGAAAUUGAAUAUGAAUUUGAAGAAAUUACAUUGGAGAGGAUGUGAUCUGAACACUUUGGCUGACAGUCCUACAAUCCUAGCACUCAAGAUGGGGAACCAUAAGGCCCAGGAAUUCAAGGCUAUCUUGAACUACUCAGUGAUUUUUGAAACAACUCUGGCCUUACAAGAAACUCUGUGCCAAUAAAAACAAAAUGAACAUU
This 268-nucleotide long non-coding RNA is filed under the name Rattus norvegicus (Norway rat). RNAcentral's name for it is "long non-coding RNA NONRATT000949". The record is from RNAcentral. Lineage: Eukaryota; Metazoa; Chordata; Mammalia; Rodentia; Muridae.